This 253-nucleotide ribosomal RNA is filed under the name uncultured bacterium. Its description in RNAcentral is "partial 16S ribosomal RNA". It matches the Rfam family "Bacterial small subunit ribosomal RNA", at positions 524 to 776 of the family's 1533-position model. The record is from RNAcentral.
UACGUAGGGUCCGAGCGUUGUCCGGAAUUAUUGGGCGUAAAGAGCUCGUAGGCGGUUUGUCGCGUCUGCUGUGAAAUCCCGAGGCUCAACCUCGGGCCUGCAGUGGGUACGGGCAGACUGGAGUGCGGUAGGGGAGAAUGGAAUUCCUGGUGUAGCGGUGGAAUGCGCAGAUAUCAGGAGGAACACCGGUGGCGAAGGCGGGUCUCUGGGCAGUAACUGACGCUGAGGAGCGAAAGCGUGGGUAGCAAACAGG